UUAGAUGUUCGGGGCCGCACGCGCGCCACACUGAAGGAAUCAACGUGUGCUCUCCCCGUCCGCCAGGACCGGGUAACCCGUUGAACCUCCUUCGUGAUAGGGACAGCAGUUUGUAACUUUCCUGCUCGAACGAGGAAUUCCCAGUAAGCGCGAGUCAUAAGCUCGUGUUGAUUACGUCCCUGGCCUUUGUACACACCGCCCGUCGCUACUACUGAUUGAAUGAUUUAGUGAGGUCUUCGGACUGGCGCUCGGACCGGCCUUUGCGGGCCGGGCCGCUGUUUGCCGGAAAGACGACCGAACUUGAUCAUUUAGAAGAAGUAAAAGUCGUAACAAGGUUACC
This 340-nucleotide ribosomal RNA is filed under the name Modisiminae gen. n. sp. Br15-45. RNAcentral describes it as "bacterial SSU rRNA". It matches the Rfam family "Eukaryotic small subunit ribosomal RNA", at positions 1473 to 1804 of the family's 1831-position model. The record is from RNAcentral. Lineage: Eukaryota; Metazoa; Arthropoda; Arachnida; Araneae; Pholcidae.